RNAcentral lists this ribosomal RNA (253 nucleotides) under uncultured bacterium. RNAcentral describes it as "partial 16S ribosomal RNA". It matches the Rfam family "Bacterial small subunit ribosomal RNA", at positions 524 to 776 of the family's 1533-position model. The record is from RNAcentral.
UACAGAGGUCUCAAGCGUUGUUCGGAUUCAUUGGGCGUAAAGGGUGCGUAGGUGGCGCCGUAAGUCGGGUGUGAAAUUUCGGAGCUUAACUCCGAAACUGCAUUCGAUACUGCGGUGCUUGAGGACUGGAGAGGAGACUGGAAUUCAUGGUGUAGCAGUGAAAUGCGUAGAGAUCAUGAGGAAGACCAGUGGCGAAGGCGGGUCUCUGGGACGGUACUGACGCUGAGACGCGAAAGCGUGGGGAGCGAACAGG